This 498-nucleotide ribosomal RNA is filed under the name uncultured bacterium. Its description in RNAcentral is "partial 16S ribosomal RNA". It matches the Rfam family "Bacterial small subunit ribosomal RNA", at positions 28 to 507 of the family's 1533-position model. The record is from RNAcentral.
GACGGACGCUGGCGGCGUGCCUAAUACAUGCAAGUCGAGCGGACGGAUGGGAGCUUGCUCCCAGACCGUCAGCGGCGGACGGGUGAGUAACACGUGGGCAACCUGCCUGUAAGACUGGGAUAACUCCGGGAAACCGGGGCUAAUACCGGAUAACUCUUUCCCUCACAUGAGGGAAAGCUGAAAGAUGGCAUCUCGCUAUCACUUACAGAUGGGCCCGCGGCGCAUUAGCUAGUUGGUGAGGUAACGGCUCACCAAGGCGACGAUGCGUAGCCGACCUGAGAGGGUGAUCGGCCACACUGGGACUGAGCCACGGCCCAGACUCCUACGGGAGGCAGCAGUAGGGAAUCUUCCGCAAUGGACGAAAGUCUGACGGAGCAACGCCGCGUGAGUGAUGAAGGUUUUCGGAUCGUAAAACUCUGUUGUCAGGGAAGAACAAGUACCGGAGUAACUGCCGGUACCUUGACGGUACCUGACCAGAAAGCCACGGCUAACUACGUG